AAAUUUAUGACUGUUAUGAAUAAAUCAAUUUUAAAACGAAAAUUAAUAUUUAACAAUAGAAUUGCUGAGAAAAACAUCAUGAGUGUAAUAACGAAUUACUUUCAUUCAUCAUGAUCUAAAUCCAAAAUACCAUGCAAGCUUGAACCUAGUAAUUAUGUUUUAAAUCCUGAAUUCUAUUCAACAAAAACAACUGCAAUAUGUUUGAUAUAUAAAUAUCCAGAUUGUGACUUCUAUUGAAUAGAAAAAAUUGGAAUGUUCUUUUUUAGCAAGGGCUGUUUUAAAAAUUUUUUUAAAUAGCCAAAACAAAGCAAAUCAUGUGAAAGUAUCCGUUGAGAAAGUUUCAGAUGGGCGUGAACCAAGUAAUUAAAUACAAAGUGAACUCAUUUGGUGGAGCUCAGUGGCAAAUAACAUGUUUCAUUCGUCCCAACAACUAGCCGUUAUUUAUGGGAGCACAUAUAUGAAGAUUUAGAAUGUGAAGCAAAAUUCGAAUGGAGGUCUACCACCGAUAGACCUUUUAAACUUGAAUUCAAGCGCAUAGUGUAGCUGAAUAAUCAAUAAGCAAAGUCUCGACGGAAAGCCCGAGGGGACGUUUCUAAAGCACGAACGUCGGCACUUGUUGUUCACUAAAGACGAAAAAUAAAAAUAUAGAACAUAAGCGCGCGAGAGAACAAGAUCACGAACCAAAGGAGACGAAUCUUCUUAGAAGUCGAUCAUCACAUUAUGCAGUUCCGCUACCACAUUUCCAAUUACCUUUAACGAGGAUCCAUCUAUAACCUUCAGAAGAUCAUUUCGUAGCAAAGCUAUCGAAAUUAUAUAUUUAAUUUUCUAUAAAAAUAACAAUAACAGAAUUACAGAUACUGGUAGACAUUAAAUGAAUAAUUUUUACAUGCAUAAACGUGAAUUUGUCAUCCAGAUUGUGAAGAACAAGUAGGUUGGAUCAUAUGCAACAAAUUUGGAUCAUAUGAGACUACGUCGAUAUAAAAA
Chelonus insularis is the source of this 984-nucleotide long non-coding RNA. RefSeq lists it as uncharacterized. Lineage: Eukaryota; Metazoa; Arthropoda; Insecta; Hymenoptera; Braconidae. The record is from RefSeq and is a predicted model, not a curated record. The transcript has 3 exons.